UCCUAACACGAUCGGGGUUGUUAUGGGGACCCCCUUGAUAAAUCGCGUAGUGUUAAGGCUUGUCCGGCAGGACCCGACAUUGGUACUAUUUGCUAAUCACUUAAUAAUAAACUGCAUAGGGAAUAGCUACCCCGAGGUUUCUUAAUCAACAACCCGGGCCAGUGCUCCUCAUGAGUGUUGGUCCAAACCAGAGCAGCUUAUUACGCUCCCCGGGGCAACUCGGAGUUUUGGCGUGGUAACCAUCGCUCAUCCGGCGUGUCCUGAGACUGAGAUACGCGGCUCUUAUCAGGGUCGUCGACGCGUCGGGAGGUCCUGCUAGCCUUGUCUUACCUUAGCGGUAUAUCUUGCGUAUAGGAAUUCCGGUGAAGCUUUGGUUUUCCCCAGAGUUGAGGCUUUCCUCUAAGGAAUCCGACGAGAUCACGAGAUUCGUGAUAGAGGAUGACUUUGCGGCCUGUGUUCGUUUGUGAUGGACUAGUUGGAGCACCCCUGCAGGGUUUAAUCUUUCGGAAAGCCGUGCCCGCGGUUAUGUGGCAACUUGGAAUAUUUUGUUAACAUCCGGUAUUAGAAAACUUAAACAUAAACUAAUAAAAUAUGCCAACUGUGUGCGUAACCGUGACUGUCCCUUCGAAGAUCUCUCUUCGAUCGGGAACACGGUGGGGUUAUGAAUGCCGUAGGAAGGUGUUCAGGAUCACUUUCUGAUCAAGUAUUCACGAUCGUUAGUAUAGAACACUGUCACUUCUCCUUUGCGUAAGCUAGCCACUUAUUCAACCUUAGGAUGCAGCAGCUUGAAACACUUCACCCCUUCCUUACCCAAUAACAUGACUAGUUCUGGCACCAAGGUCUUAGAUUGCUGAGUCCCCGUGACUCACGGAUUCCUCCGAAACUCCCAGCAGGUACAGGUACCCCAGAGGCAGAUGAUCCCGACGGCACCCAGCUGGCGUGGCAGUACGACGAGGAGACAGAUCGCCUUUACGUGAACUAUCCAGAGGACUGAGCCGUGGUCGUGAUCGUGGGCCUGCAGCGGGUAGCAUAGCAUUUUCCUUGUUUUGUAGUCCGUACCGGAACUACCUUGUUUGUAUCUGCGUUGUACUCUGUAUUUUAAUAAGAAGACAGUUGAAUCCCAGAUUGUCUACUUUAUUUAUUAUUAUGUGCUAUGUUUACUUGCUUGCAAAACACUUAGAUGCGCUUCUUUCCUAUUCGGGGGCCUUGACCCCCAGAUCGGAAAGGACCGCAUCUUGGUCGUUACAGCUGUCCCCUGUGGCCGCAAGGAUUGCUCACCCCCUCCAGUCCGCAUUCCUGAAGGGCAGACGGAUUCAUGAUGGGAUCCUUGCCCUCCACGAGAUAGUCCACGAGGUGGCAUCCAAGGGUCUCAAGGAGGUCUUCCUCAAAUUGGACUUCCAGAAGGCGUAUGAUCGGCUUGAUUGGUCCUUUUUGAGGAUGGUGAUGCAGCGGCGUGGAUUUGACGAGAGGUGGUGCUCCUGGAUCAUGCAACUAGUUAGAUCCGGUAGCACCGCGAUCAAUAUCAAUGGGGUAGUAGGCCCCUUUUUUCAGGCUUCCAGGGGGGUUAAGCAAGGUGACCCUAUUUCCCCCUGCUUUUCAACCUUGUUGUCGACGCCCUCACUGGCAUCCUGGAUAAAGCGAAGCUAGCCGGUCAUAUUCAGGGGGUGGUUGGCCACCUCAUCUCGGGUGGUGGUGUAUCCCACCUCCAAUACGCGGAUGACACCAUGAUCAUGGUCACAGGAUCCGACUCGGACAUUGCUAAUCUUAAGUUCCUUUUGCUCUGCUUCGAGGAAAUGUCGGGACUUAAGAUUAACUUUGAUAAGAGUGAGGUUGUGGUCCUGGGCUACUCCGAGGAUGAGCAGCACAGGAUCGCAGACAACCUCAACUGCAAGCUGGCGGUCUUCCCCAUCUCUUAUUUGGGAUGCCCUUGGCUGAGUCCAGGAUCUUGGUUAGUGGGUUUGAUCCGCUUGUGGGACGAAUAGCGUCCCGUGCGGAGCCCUGGUGCGGUAGAUUCACGUCUAAAGGGAGCAAGUCUGUCCUCAUCAGCUCUAACCUUGCGAGCCUCCCCAUGUAUAUGAUGGGGAUGUAUAUCUUGCCCGAAGGUGUGCACAACACCUUUGACAAGGAGCUGGCUAGGUUCUUCUGGCAGGCAGGGGAUGGUAGACCAAAGUACCACAUGGUGAAGUGGGCUGAUAUUUGCUUGCCGAAGGACCGAGGGGGCUUGGGCAUCCCUGCGUCCCGCCGAAUGAACAUUGCCUUGAUGUUCGUUGGGUGUGACGGAUCCUGCAGGGAGACGGGGGUUUGUGGCUUCAACUGAUUAAGGCCAAGUACUUGCGGGGCAGACCCCUCUUGGCCUGCUCGCUCGCGCAUGGAUCGCAUUUCUGGAAAUCUAUCCAGAACAUCAAGAACGAUAUUAGGUUGGGUCUACGGAUCUCGGUGGGCAGUGGUUCUGAGACCCAGUUUUGGUUAGACCCCUGGUUGGAUGGAGAGCCUCUGCGAGUACGGUUUCCGAGGCUCUUUGCUAUUUGUGACGAUCCUACUGUCCUUGUCUCGGCGUCUGCUUCUGAGGACGGAUGCCAGGUUGCGUUCCGUCGUCCCCUCGGUCCAACUGAGGUCCUGGACUGGGAUGUACUGCAGGCAGUGGUCCCUCUCCCGACCUCAUUGGACAGGGAUAGUGUUUCUUGGAGUCUGUCUCCCUCAGGAGAAUUCUCCGUUAGUUCGGCCUACCUGGCUCUGUGCAGGAUGCCGGUCCUCCCGUGGUUAUCCCCACUUUGGAAGGCACCGCUGCCCGUGAAGAUUAAGAUUUUCGUUUGGCAGCUUCUCCGAGACCGCUUACCUUCAGGGACUGAGGUACUGAAACGUCACGGUCCGGGUAACGGCACUUGUCCCUUGUGCCAUGUCCUGGAGACUGGUCCUCACAUUCUGUUCUCUUGCGUCGCGGCACAGCCCCUUUGGUGCUUUGUACGUGAGGCCUUGGGACCGGAAUGGGAGGCCCGUGACCUUCCAGACUUUCUGCAGCUACGGGCCACCUAGGUCGGCCGUAAACGCCAACUGUUCUGGCUGGUCUUCGCCGCCAUGAUGUUGACUCUUUGAACUUCUCGCAACAAAAUGGUGAUUGAGAGGAUCUUCCUGCGGCGUGCUUCUGACUCAUUCUUCAAAUUCAUUGCCUUUUUGCAGCACUGGCAUCCGCUCAUUAGGACUCGAGACCGCGUCCGUCUUCAGUGCUACAUGGACGCGCUGAUUGCGACCGCCCGACGGCUCUCCGCUCCCUCGCCUGUUACUUAGCCUGCUCCUAGGAAGGCAUUUUUUGUUUCUUUCUCUUUUCUUGGGCAGGAUUCUGCUGGUGCCCCAACGUUUCUUUUGUGUUAUCACUCUGUUGGAUGUAUUGUUUGUCUGCAUGCUGGAUGUUGUGCUUUAUAUAUAAAGCGGGGCGAAAGCCUGUUUCGAGAAAUAAAGGGUUGGCCAUGUCUAACUGGGUUUCCAAAUGUGUCAUUGGUGAAAAGGAAAAUAAAAGGAAGUGAUUAUUUUGUACUUUAAUUAUUGAAUCUUUACCUAAUAUUACAGGACAAAUCGUUUCUCCAUUUUAUUUCGUCAUCAAUUCCUUUACUACGUCAUCCUUUUCUGUUUUAUGUACGUGGUCGAGCCGAGUUGUGGAACCAACUCAUCAUGCUGGUGAUCAUGCAUAAAAAAAGGAAGGGAAUCGUUUUCAUACCGCGCGCCCCCUCCCGCACGCGGGGGUCCAUGCAACAUUUUUCCACCAGCGCGCUUCGCUGGUCGGUGGAUGCAACAUUUUUCGUCUAAAUUUGUUGCAACCAGCGUCAUAUUUGCUGCAAGCGUUUUUUUACUAUUUUUUAUCUCAGUAAAAAAAGCUGCAUAUACGUUUGGUUGCAACUCCAGUUCGUCGGAUUUUUCGUUACAAUCGAUGUUUUUUAAUUUUUGCUACAACCGGCAUCAUGUUUUGAUGCAACUGUUCACUAAAAAAGUUGCAUACACGUCACGUAAAUAUUUGUUAAAACCGGCGUUUGACUUUUGCUAUCACACACCAUCAGCUUCGUUUUUUUGCUACGAUCACGUAGAUAUUUUUUUGCUACAAAUUUUGUUUUUUGUUACAACCGUUAAAAAAAUUGCUGCAUCACAUCGAAAUUUUGCUGCAUAUGAAGAAAAAUGUUGCAUGCAGAUCCAAUGGUGCGGACGCACGGAGUUGGUGGAUCGUGCGGCCCGCGCGCGGCCGACCGAAAGUUUCGGCCCGCGCGCCGGCGUAGAUCACUCCAAAAAAGGAAAUAACUUUUUUUAUAGACGGAGCAGGUUUUAUUAAAAAAAGAAAGGUCAUACCGGACAGCUGCUCACUCUAAAGGCAAAUAGUAAUCUCCACAUAUCCAGAAAUGGGUGCUCCAUGCACACAAAAAAAAGUUGCACACCAUGUGUAACGGUUGUUUGCCUCGAAAAAAAAUGUGUAACUGUGGUCGCCGCAUGCACCUCAAAAUAGAAGGUUGUCCGAUGCACUUUUUUUAACACGGUACAAACGUAAGCGUUCAUAUAUACAUUUAUCCAUAUAAACGUAUACACGUACAUUCUAUCCUUAUGAACAUGUCUGAAAUACUGAGCCGACAUAUCAUGUUUAGGUUUACGAAGCCAUAAUUGGUGCCUCGACGUCGAGAAAAACGUCUCCUCUCACAAAAAGUGCAUCGUCGGAAAUCCUAAAAUAAAUUCAGAAAUAAUGCAAACACCAGAUGUUUAGUGGGUUGGGGAUACCAUUCUUCUUCUAACCAUCCAACCACAGGUUGAUUCGCGGUUGUCCCAUGCACCUAAAAAAAGGCUGCCCCAUGUAUGUGGCUGAUGUAGUUGCCCGAUGCAUUAUUGUUUUGUUCUGAA
Molecule: long non-coding RNA, 4872 nt
Filed under: Hordeum vulgare
Lineage: Eukaryota; Viridiplantae; Streptophyta; Magnoliopsida; Poales; Poaceae
Description: long non-coding RNA (HVUL_LNC009154)
Source: RNAcentral